Molecule: ribosomal RNA, 278 nt
Filed under: uncultured Staphylococcus sp.
Lineage: Bacteria; Bacillati; Bacillota; Bacilli; Caryophanales; Staphylococcaceae
Description: partial 16S ribosomal RNA
Rfam family: Bacterial small subunit ribosomal RNA
Source: RNAcentral
CCUUUGACGUUAGCGGCGACGGGUGAGUAACACGUGGGUAACCUACCUAUAAGACUGGGAUAACUUCGGGAAACCGGAGCUAAUACCGGAUAAUAUUUCGAACCGCAUGGUUCGAUAGUGAAAGGNGGUUUUGCUAUCACUUAUAGAUGGACCCGCGCCGUAUUAGCUAGUUGGUAAGGUAACGGCUUACCAAGGCGACGAUACGUAGCCGACCUGAGAGGGUGAUCGGCCACACUGGAACUGAGACACGGUCCAGACUCCUACGGGAGGCAGCAGUC